Molecule: ribosomal RNA, 834 nt
Filed under: uncultured Planctomycetota bacterium
Lineage: Bacteria; Pseudomonadati; Planctomycetota
Description: bacterial SSU rRNA
Rfam family: Bacterial small subunit ribosomal RNA
Source: RNAcentral
GGAUUAGGCAUGCAAGUCGAACGAGGGAGUAUCCCGAAAGGGAUACAGACCGAGUGGCGUAAGGGUGAGUAAUGCAUUGAUAACCUACCUUCAAGAUGAGGAUAACAACGUUUCGAGCAAUCGAAACUACCGAAAGGGUUGCUAAUACUCAAUAAAACAAUUAAUACUUCGGUAAUAAUAGUCAAAGGAUGGGAUCGUAAGAUCCUUUUACUUGGAGAGGGGUCAAUGUCCUAUCAGCUAGUUGGUAGGGUAACGGCCUACCAAGGCAAAGACGGGUAGCCGGCCUGAGAGGGUGGUCGGCCACAUUGGGACUGAGACACUGCCCAGACUCCUACGGGAGGCUGCAGUCGAGAAUCUUUCGCAAUGCCCGAAAGGGUGACGAAGCGACGCCGCGUGUGGGAAGAAGGCCUUCGGGUUGUAAACCACUGUCGGGAGUUAAGAAAUGUAAGGGUGUUAAUAGCGCCUUUACUUGACAAAGGCUCCGGAGGAAGCCACGGCUAACUCUGUGCCAGCAGCCGCGGUAAUACAGAGGCGGCAAGCGUUGUUCGGAAUUAUUGGGCGUAAAGAGCACGUAGGCGGCUUUGCAAGUCAGUUGUGAAAGCCUUCCGCUUAACGGAAGAACAGCAGCUGAUACUACAGAGCUUGAGUACGGGAGGGGAGAGUGGAACUUCUGGUGGAGCGGUGAAAUGCGUAGAUAUCAGAAGGAACGCCGGCGGCGAAAGCGAUUCUCUGGUCCGAAACUGACGCUGAGUGUGCGAAAGCUAGGGGAUCAAACGGGAUUAGAUACCCCGGUAGUCCUAGCCGUAAACGAUGGGCACUAAGUAGAGGGGUUUU